This 69-nucleotide transfer RNA is filed under the name Basidentitermes aurivillii. RNAcentral's name for it is "tRNA-Cys". Lineage: Eukaryota; Metazoa; Arthropoda; Insecta; Blattodea; Termitidae. The record is from RNAcentral.
GGCCUUGUAUUCAUUUUGUGAUUAUAGAAUGCAAUUCUAUAGGGGUGAGUUAAGAACUUAUCAAGGCCU